RNAcentral lists this ribosomal RNA (305 nucleotides) under uncultured bacterium. RNAcentral describes it as "bacterial SSU rRNA". It matches the Rfam family "Bacterial small subunit ribosomal RNA", at positions 337 to 659 of the family's 1533-position model. The record is from RNAcentral.
GCCUACGGGGGGCAGCAGUGGGGAGUAUUGCACAAUGGGGGAAACCCUGAUGCAGCGACGCCGCGUGAGCGAAGAAGUAUUUCGGUACGUAAAGCUCUAUCAGCAGGAAAGAAAAUGACGGUACCUGACUAAGAAGCCCCGGCUAACUACGUGCCAGCAGCCGCGGUAAUACGUAGGGGGCAAGCGUUAUCCGGAUUUACUGGGUGUAAAGGGAGCGUAGACGGCAGCGCAAGUCUGGAGUGAAAUGCCGGGGCCCAACCCCGGAACUGCUCUGGAAACUGUGAAGCUGGAGUGCAGGAGAGGUA